GUUAUAUGGUCAAGCGACUAAGCGCAUACGGUGGAUGCCUUGGCGGUCAGAGGCGAUGAAGGACGUGGUAGCCUGCGAAAAGUCCCGGGGAGCUGGCAACAAGCUUCGAUCCGGGAAUGUCCGAAUGGGGAAACCCACCGCGCAAGCGGUAUCCCAGCUUGAAUCUAUAGGGCUGGGAGGCGAACUCAGGGAACUGAAAUAUCUAAGUACCUGAAGGAAAAGAAAUCAACCGAGAUUCCCUAAGUAGCGACGAGCGAACGGGGAUAAGCCCAAAAGUCGUGCAAGUUCUAGCGGAACGGUCUGGAAAGUCCGGCCAUAGACGGUGAUAGCCCGGUAUGUGAAAGGGCUUGUACGAUGAAAGUGAGUAGGGCGGGGCACGUGAAACCCUGUCUGAACAUGGGGGGACCAUCCUCCAAGGCUAAAUACUCCUGACCGACCGAUAGUGAACCAGUACCGUGAGGGAAAGGCGAAAAGAACCCCGGAGAGGGGAGUGAAAUAGAAAGCUAAUCGAACCCGGAGAUAGCUGGUUCUCCUCGAAAGCUAUUUAGGUAGCGCCUCAGGUAUCACUGUUGGGGGUAGAGCACUGUUAUGGCUAGGGGGUCAUCGCGACUUACCAAACCAUGGCAAACUCCGAAUACCAACACGUGCAAGCCUGGGAGACACACGGCGGGUGCGAACGUCCGUCGUGAAAAGGGAAACAACCCAGACCUGCAGCUAAGGUCCCAAAAUCAUGGCUAAGUGGGAAACGAUGUGGGAAGGCACAGACAGCCAGGAGGUUGGCUUAGAAGCAGCCAUCCUUUAAAGAAAGCGUAAUAGCUCACUGGUCGAGUCGGCCCGCGCGGAAGAUUUAACGGGGCUCAAGCCAUGUACCGAAGCUCGGGGUUCACACGCAAGUGUGAGCGGUAGAGGAGCGUUCCGUACGCCUGCGAAGGUGGAUCGUAAGGUCCGCUGGAGGUAUCGGAAGUGCGAAUGCUGACAUGAGUAACGAUAAAGGGGGUGAAAAGCCCCCUCGCCGAAAGCCCAAGGUUUCCUCGCGCAACGUUCAUCGGCGCAGGGUUAGUCGGUCCCUAAGGCGAGGCGGAAACGCGUAGUCGAUGGGAAGCUGGUCAAUAUUCCAGCACCUCGCACAACUGCGAUGGGGUGACGGAGAAGGGUAGGUGUACCGGGCGUUGGUUGUCCCGGGGAAAGGCGGUAGGUGUGGACCUUAGGCAAAUCCGGGGUCCUCUACACCGAGCACCGAGACGAGUCCUCUAGGACGAAGUCACUGAUCCCACGCUUCCAGGAAAAACCUCUAAGCUUCAGGUUGUGCAGACCGUACCGUAAUCCGACACAGGUAGGCAGGGUGAGAAUCCCAAGGCGCUUGAGAGAACUCGGGUGAAGGAACUAGGCAACAUAGCACCGUAACUUCGGGAGAAGGUGCGCCCGGAGAUGUGGCUACAUGCGUAGCUGAGCAUUUCCGGGCCGCAGUGACCAGGCCGCUGCGACUGUUUAUCAAAAACACAGCACUCUGCAAACACGAAAGUGGACGUAUAGGGUGUGACACCUGCCCGGUGCCGGAAGGUUAAUUGAUGGGGUCAGCCGCAAGGCGAAGCUCUUGAUCGAAGCCCCGGUAAACGGCGGCCGUAACUAUAACGGUCCUAAGGUAGCGAAAUUCCUUGUCG
RNAcentral lists this ribosomal RNA (1661 nucleotides) under Myxococcaceae bacterium. RNAcentral's name for it is "partial 23S ribosomal RNA". It matches the Rfam family "Bacterial large subunit ribosomal RNA", at positions 1 to 1974 of the family's 2925-position model. The record is from RNAcentral. Lineage: Bacteria; Pseudomonadati; Myxococcota; Myxococcia; Myxococcales; Myxococcaceae.